AGAGUUUGAUCCUGGCUCAGAACGAACGCUGGCGGCGUGCCUAACACAUGCAAGUCGUGCGGGAAAGUGGGGGCAACUCCACGAGUAGAGCGGCGCACGGGUGAGUAACACGUAGGUAACCUGCCUUCGGGACUGGGAUAACCUGUCGAAAGACGGGCUAAUACCAGAUAAGACCACGGGGGCUUUGGCCCCAGGGGUAAAAGGUGGCCUCUGCUUGCAAGCUACCACUCGGAGAUGGGCCUGCGCGCCAUUAGCUUGUUGGUGAGGUAACGGCUCACCAAGGCAAAGAUGGCUAGCUGGUCUGAGAGGAUGGCCAGCCACACUGGGACUGAGACACGGCCCAGACUCCUACGGGAGGCAGCAGUCGGGAAUUUUGGGCAAUGGGCGAAAGCCUGACCCAGCAACGCCGCGUGAAGGAUGAAAUCCCUCGGGAUGUAAACUUCGCAAGAAUAGGAAGAAUUAGUAGGGGUUAAUACCCCCUAUGAUGACGGUACUAUUUGUAAGCUCCGGCUAACUCCGUGCCAGCAGCCGCGGUAAUACGGGGGGAGCAAGCGUUGUUCGGAUUUACUGGGCGUAAAGGGCGCGUAGGCGGCCAGCACAAGUCAGUUGUGAAAUCUCCGGGCUUAACUCGGAAAGGUCAACUGAUACUGUGCGGCUAGAGUGCAGAAGGGGCAACUGGAAUUCUCGGUGUAGCGGUGAAAUGCGUAGAUAUCGAGAGGAACACCUGCGGCGAAGGCGGGUUGCUGGGCUGACACUGACGCUGAUGCGCGAAAGCCAGGGGAGCGAACGGGAUUAGAUACCCCGGUAGUCCUGGCCUUAAACGAUGGAUGCUUGGUGUCUGGGGUUUUAUAGUCCCCGGGUGCCGUAGCUAACGCGUUAAGCAUCCCGCCUGGGGAGUACGGUCGCAAGACUGAAACUCAAAGGAAUUGACGG
This 933-nucleotide ribosomal RNA is filed under the name uncultured bacterium. Its description in RNAcentral is "bacterial SSU rRNA". It matches the Rfam family "Bacterial small subunit ribosomal RNA", at positions 8 to 916 of the family's 1533-position model. The record is from RNAcentral.